GCGAGCAGCACAGGAGGUGAUUUGAUGAGCUGGGCCAUGACCAUUUCUCAGAUUAAAGGGUGUGAUGGGGCUUUUGGGGGCCACGCAGUACAGCCUUCCACUCAAAGAAAGAAACCUCUGUCCCUCCCUCAGGACGAUGGCAUUCCAUCUCUCUGAACUCUGUCACAUACAGUAAUUGCCUGUCAUCGCAAGCAGCCUGUUCCACAGACAGCUCUCAUUACUGGACAAACCUCACUCCUCUUCCAUACAGUGGACAAAAUUAUCUGAAGACAAUCAUCAAUCCCUCCCUAUCAAGACUCUUCAUUUUCCUGGAUCCCAAGUUCCUGAGGAUGUCCCCCUCCUGGCAAGAUACUGAGCUCCCUUCCCCAUCACUGUGGGUGCCUUUUGGGAGGAGCUCCAUUUGUCAGUAAUGCCAAGUAAUUUAACAAGUAAUGUUAAAUUACUUGUAAUUAACAAGUAAUGCCAAGAAGCGAACAGAAUACUGCAGAUAGGUUUUGAUUAACACAAAUAAGAGUGGUACUAUGCAUUAUGCUGUUAUUGUUAUUAUUUUGUUUUAAAUUAGUUAAGUCCCAAUGUUUGCUCAUAUUAAGUCCUUUUCCUCAACUGUCUCCCAGGUCUUCUAUGUGACUCUCCCUCUGUCUAUAUUCAAGCGAUCGAAUAUUUUAUACUUUUAUUUAGAACUCUACAUCUCUCUCAUGCAGUUCAUGAGUUCAAAAGGGUUUUUUUUUCCCCACCAUUCUUCCCUCAUUUGAAUCUCACAACAAUCCCAUGAAUGAGGCUUCUCAAAUGUGAUUAUUCUCCUUUUCAGACGGGGAAACUGAGGUCUUAGCAAAUCAAGAAACGUGUCCACGUCUAUGAGAACAGCAUUCCUUGGCCCUAGAAAAAUCCCUUUCGCAAGCAGAAGGAAAGAGUAUGGACUAAAACUUCAAAAUUUUAAAUCUAAAAUUGCAAAAUAUGUCAACAUUGAUAAUAGUACAGAGUUGAAUGACGGGAUUAAAUUUCUUUCAGCAUUGAAGUAUUUCCUGAAAUCCAUAUGGGACUCUAAUACUAAUAAUAACCCAUAUUUUUUGUGAAUUUGGGUGCAGAAGACAAGUUUUGAAGGACAUCUCAGAAGUCGUCUAAUUCAAAUCGACCUAAGCAAGAACCCUUUCCACCUCGUUUCUAGACAGAUAAUGAUCCAGGCUUUCAGGUGAGGACCUCUAUGGGCUUACUGAGGUAAUUUCAAAAACUAGAAAAACAGGGAGAUGGCAGUACAACAGUGCAUCACCUGCAAUACAGCUCUCUUACUGAGCAACCACUAUCAUGCCAUCUCAUGAUAGGUUUUAUCAUAUUUUUAAUCAUUCAAUAGCUAAUCAUUUGGAAAUGGUCACUUCCCCUGCAGUACUUUUGCCUUCUUUUGUUAUGGAUUUUACAGUUAAAGACUUUAAAAUUAUUUUUUAAUUAUUAAAAAUGAGUAGUCAUUGAGGACUUGGAAAUACAUAAAAGUGAAGGAAGAGAAAACGAUGAGUUUUAGGUGAAUACAAAGAAAAUCAUUAUUAACAUUUAGUGUAUAUUCUUCAAGUCUUUGUUCUUUAGAUAGGUUGGAAAACAUAUACUUGAGAUUAACUGAUACGUACAACUCUGUAUUCUCCUUUUAGUCAUUAAUAACCUAACACAUUUUAAUUAGAAUUUGCUUGUAAACAUUUUAAUGUAUAUACUAUAAAAUACUUCCUAAUCUUUUAAAAUAUGAUGACACACCUAGAAAAUGGCUACUUGUAAGACACUCUGAGGGGAACGGAUGGAGCUGCUCGAAGCAGAGGCCACCGCAGACCCUGGUACUAUUGUAUCUCUGAGGCCUGAGUGGACCAGUGCUUCUGUGAGGUGCCGGCAGUGUGGUCGAGCCCACCAGUGGGGCGGCUCUUCCUAAGGCUCCUGUGCAAUGCUGUAUCAUUGGACGUUCACGAGGUAUAUACCGUUUGUGUCAUAGAAAAUGCUGCAAGAUUAGCUUGGACCAUAAAGCUUUUUACACAGUUAAGGAAAUUUCCUUACAACUGUUGAAAUCAAAAAGAAAUGGAGACCAACCUUGAAAAUUCUCUGAGCAAACAAAACCAGUUUAGUCAUAUAAGCAAAGCUUAAUUCAGCUUAUUUUGCAAGACUAACUUGACGUGGGUCAUUUCUUGCUUAUGCUUCUAGAAAUUAUAAGCCAAACUUGAACUGUUUCCAAGGUGGACAUGAAGUGGCUACUGCCCAAUUCCCUGUCACUGAAGGAGAAAUCCUUCAGUGACCAGUGAUUGUGAAGAGUAAACUGUCACUGCCUCUCACCACCUGAGCCAUGUACCAACACCACGCCCUGUGCCCCAGGUCCAGGCUUUAGUUCGAGUGCUGCCUGUUUGCAAACUGUCUUUUUGGUGUAUGCAUAAUAAACUUUUACUAA
Molecule: long non-coding RNA, 2413 nt
Organism: Hipposideros armiger (great roundleaf bat)
Lineage: Eukaryota; Metazoa; Chordata; Mammalia; Chiroptera; Hipposideridae
Exons: 3
Source: RefSeq, a predicted model, not a curated record